CACGUAUUUAGCCGGAGCUUCUUACUCAGGUACCGUCAUUUUCUUCCCUGCUGAUAGAGCUUUACAUACCGAAAUACUUCUUCGCUCACGCGGCGUCGCUGCAUCAGGGUUUCCCCCAUUGUGCAAUAUUCCCCACUGCUGCCUCCCGUAGGAGUCUGGGCCGUGUCUCAGUCCCAAUGUGGCCGUCCACCCUCUCAGGCCGGCUACUGAUCGUCGCCUUGGUGGGCCGUUGCCCCGCCAACAAGCUAAUCAGACGCGGGCCCAUCCUGCACCGCCAAAGCUUUUCGCACCGCUUCAUGCGAAGCUGUGCGCUUAUGCGGUAUUAGCAGCCGUUUCCGGCUGUUGUCCCCCUGUGCAGGGCAGGUUGCCCACGCGUUACUCACCCGUCCGCCACUCAGUCGCCCGGCCUUCCUCUCCGAAGAGACUCCGUCCGAGCGCUUCGUUCGACUUGCAUGUGUUAGGCACGCCGCCAGCGUUCAUCCUGAGCCAGGA
This 492-nucleotide ribosomal RNA is filed under the name uncultured Lachnospiraceae bacterium. RNAcentral's name for it is "partial 16S ribosomal RNA". The record is from RNAcentral. Lineage: Bacteria; Bacillati; Bacillota; Clostridia; Lachnospirales; Lachnospiraceae.